GAUGAACGCUGGCGGCGUGCCUAAUACAUGCAAGUCGAGCGAACGGACGAGGAGCUUGCUUCUCUGAUGUUAGCGGCGGACGGGUGAGUAACACGUGGAUAACCUACCUAUAAGACUGGGAUAACUUCGGGAAACCGGAGCUAAUACCGGAUAAUAUUUUGAACCGCAUGGUUCAAAAGUGAAAGACGGUCUUGCUGUCACUUAUAGAUGGAUCCGCGCUGCAUUAGCUAGUUGGUAAGGUAACGGCUUACCAAGGCAACGAUGCAUAGCCGACCUGAGAGGGUGAUCGGCCACACUGGAACUGAGACACGGUCCAGACUCCUACGGGAGGCAGCAGUAGGGAAUCUUCCGCAAUGGGCGAAAGCCUGACGGAGCAACGCCGCGUGAGUGAUGAAGGUCUUCGGAUCGUAAAACUCUGUUAUUAGGGAAGAACAUAUGUGUAAGUAACUGUGCACAUCUUGACGGUACCUAAUCAGAAAGCCACGGCUAACUACGUGCCAGCAGCCGCGGUAAUACGUAGGUGACAAGCGUUAUCCGGAAUUAUUGGGCGUAAAGCGCGCGUAGCGGUUUUUUAGUCUGAUGUGAAAGCCCACGGCUCAACCGUGGAGGGUCAUUGGAAACUGGAAAACUUGAGUGCAGAAGAGGAAAGUGGAAUUCCAUGUGUAGCGGUGAAAUGCGCAGAGAUAUGGAGGAACACCCGUGGCGAAGGCGACUUUCUGGUCUGUAACUGACGCUGAUGUGCGAAAGCGUGGGGAUCAAACAGGAUUAGAUACCCUGGUAGUCCACGCCGUAAACGAUGAGUGCUAAGUGUUAGGGGGUUUCCGCCCCUUAGUGCUGCAGCUAACGCAUUAAGCACUCCGCCUGGGGAGUACGACCGCAAGGUUGAAACUCAAAGGAAUUGACGGGGACCCGCACAAGCGGUGGAGCAUGUGGUUUAAUUCGAAGCAACGCGAAGAACCUUACCAAAUCUUGACAUCCUUUGACAACUCUAGAGAUAGAGCUUUCCCCUUCGGGGGACAAAGUGACAGGUGGUGCAUGGUUGUCGUCAGCUCGUGUCGUGAGAUGUUGGGUUAAGUCCCGCAACGAGCGCAACCCUUAAGCUUAGUUGCCAUCAUUAAGUUGGGCACUCUAAGUUGACUGCCGGUGACAAACCGGAGGAAGGUGGGGAUGACGUCAAAUCAUCAUGCCCCUUAUGAUUUGGGCUACACACGUGCUACAAUGGACAAUACAAAGGGCAGCGAAACCGUGAGGUCAAGCAAAUCCCAUAAAGUUGUUCUCAGUUCGGAUUGUAGUCUGCAACUCGACUACAUGAAGCUGGAAUCGCUAGUAAUCGUAGAUCAGCAUGCUACGGUGAAUACGUUCCCGGGUCU
Molecule: ribosomal RNA, 1370 nt
Filed under: uncultured bacterium
Lineage: Bacteria
Description: bacterial SSU rRNA
Rfam family: Bacterial small subunit ribosomal RNA
Source: RNAcentral